CUUGAGGAAAAAGUGAGUCUUUGGGUGAGUUAACAGCAGCUAAAUGAUCAAACCUGCAGGUUUUUUUUUUUUCUUUCCUGAUCUGAUAAACCUUGCAGAGAUCAAAGAAGUACUUUAGAAAAUCACUUUAAAAGGCAUCUUAUGCUGUGGGAUAACUUACAGUUAACCACUGAGCAGGGUUUGAGGAGCAUGGAGAGAUUCUCUCUCACACAGAAGAGAGCAGGAGCCAUGGGUACCCAUGAAGAUCAGGUCACAGUCCCCUUGGGACAGAGCUGCCAGACACCAGACUAGCCAAAGGAAAGCAGGAGCCAGCCACUCUGUAGAGCAAGCAGAGGAAUUCCAGCAUCCAGGAACGGAUGAGGGCUUUCUGUACCAUGCAUUGUACCUUCCAGCAACAGGAGCAAUUGUGGCAUUUCCAAAACGAUCUUUAUUUGCCUAUUGCUUGAUUGGGAUGCACACCUUCACUCAAGAAGAGAGAUUUUCUGCUUCUCACCUCUGGUUUCUGAUAGCAUCUUAAUACAUUUUUUUUAUUUUUAAUCCCAAGAAGUAUAUUUGCACUAGCAGGACAUGCUCAUCCAUCAUCAGAUAAUUUAUAUAAAAGCUGUGAGGAGGAGAAGGACAGUAACAUGUGGAAUAAAUCACUGCCAAGUAGAAAACCUGUUGUUUAAACAUAUCUCUAUGCGUA
Molecule: long non-coding RNA, 685 nt
Organism: Gallus gallus (chicken)
Lineage: Eukaryota; Metazoa; Chordata; Aves; Galliformes; Phasianidae
Source: Ensembl